AUCUAUAUAGUAUAUUAGUAUUAUAGAUUUCCAAUCUAAAGGUCUUUAUUUAAAGUAUAGAUA
Molecule: transfer RNA, 63 nt
Filed under: Raymondia sp. A GC-2023a
Lineage: Eukaryota; Metazoa; Arthropoda; Insecta; Diptera; Streblidae
Description: tRNA-Gly
Source: RNAcentral